Long non-coding RNA from Sorex fumeus (smoky shrew), 605 nucleotides. RefSeq lists it as uncharacterized. The record is from RefSeq and is a predicted model, not a curated record. The transcript has 5 exons. Lineage: Eukaryota; Metazoa; Chordata; Mammalia; Eulipotyphla; Soricidae.
UUUCUUUCACCAUCAGUAGAUAUACAAGAACAGGUUUAUCAUGUUCAAAAACUCCACCACAUUCUAGAAAUAUUGGUCAGUUGUAAGCUUUUCAUUCAUCUUCAACAUGAGCAGCUUUUUUCUUUAACACAAUCCUGUGUAAAAUAUUACAAACAAAACCCUCUUGACGAGCAGCACAUCUUUCAGCUACCCGUCAGACCAACCGCCGUAAAGGAUUUGUACCAGAGUGAGAAGCCACAGAAAUGGAGAGUGGAAAUAAAUAGUGGUCACAAGAAGGUGAAAACUGUUUGGCAGCUGAGUGACAGCCUGCCUGUGGACCAUCUGAACUCCCCCAGAGUCGAUUUUUCUGAGCUAACAUUCAAUGGUAGCUUGGAAGAGAAGACGUGCUUCACCACCAUGAUCACCAGCAGCCAAGUGCAUUUCAAGUGAAGUUUGUGGGCGGGGCUUGUUCAAGGUAGUAAAGAAAAAAAAAAAUCACAGCAACUGAAAACAAAUGUACAUAAACACUCAGAGCAGAGCAGGAAAUGGUGAUGAUUGUCCUCUACCAGCUGCCCCGAAAGCUGCCAAAUGACCAACCUCUCAGGUGUGUCUCCGCAGGAGGAGCA